Molecule: long non-coding RNA, 980 nt
Organism: Portunus trituberculatus (swimming crab)
Lineage: Eukaryota; Metazoa; Arthropoda; Malacostraca; Decapoda; Portunidae
Exons: 2
Source: RefSeq, a predicted model, not a curated record
AGUGAAACACACACACACACACAUGCGCGCGCGCGCGCUAUCAUCCCAGAGAAGGAUUUUCACAUAUUACAUAAAGUUGAAGCUCACACAGCCAUCAAAACAGUAGCCGCUAUUUACAUCAAACAUUUGAAACCUGAUCUCAAUAAUUAAUCAUCAUCAGCAAAGUUGUAUGUUUCAUAAACCUUGUUUCGGAGAUUUGGUCCUCCGAGACCGUCAUCAACUCACCCACACACCACCACCUGCAAAUCACCUUAACCCGCCACUGAACCACGAUUGUUACAGUUCCCACAACGGAGCCUUCUUCACCACGCCCUUCACACAGCCGUCUGUUGGCCAGGGGCGGCGAGACAUCGGUGGCAGCAGCGGCAAAACCUAAGGAAAUGACACAGAAGAUCGUUGUUUUCGGAGAGGCGCAGCAAACAUGAGCGUUUUGUUCUGCAUGGAGACGCCACACCUCUGCCGCAAUCUACACCCCGCAACCCCCUUCCCUGCACCCCCUUCUCUACAGCACCCCCAACUCCUGCCUCCAACACCGCCCAACACAACCGUCGGGAUCAAUAUGAGGACCGCGUGAGCCGCAGUCUGCGAAGAAGUCCCGCCACCCUUCCUCCACCAGACUCUCUCCUACCCCUUCAUCUCCCGUCUGCUUCCCCCAUCCUCUCUCUCUCUCUCUCUCUCUCUCUCUCUCUCUCUCUCUCUCUCUCUCUCUCUCUCUCUCAUUCCGUCCCCACCGAGUACAACAAUGAUAAAGACUCGUAAGUCAUCAUUGUGGCGCUGCAUCACCUGCGCUCCUCCACCACGGGGCGCCAUGGCUGUAGGAGACGGGAAGAAGGCGCCGUGGUGGAACAUUUCCGUUGGGGACUGAUAAGAUACGGACAUGCUUCCCAGAAUCAGAAAGUUCACUGUGUGGCGGGUCACUAGGUCACUAUACUGUAAUACUGUAGUACUCGUACUGUAGUAAAGUAAAGUAAAGAAAAAUU